UCUUGAUCUGGAUGUAGCUCAAUGAUGGGCUGGGGAUGUGGCUUAGUGAUAGAGUGCUUGCCUAGCAUGAAUGAAUCUCUGGGUUUGGUUCCUUAGUACAUCAGCAGAAAAAGGGGAAAUGGUGCUGUUGUUCAAGUGGUAGAGU
Molecule: long non-coding RNA, 145 nt
Organism: Dipodomys spectabilis (banner-tailed kangaroo rat)
Lineage: Eukaryota; Metazoa; Chordata; Mammalia; Rodentia; Heteromyidae
Exons: 4
Source: RefSeq, a predicted model, not a curated record